Molecule: ribosomal RNA, 719 nt
Filed under: Salmonella enterica subsp. enterica serovar Enteritidis
Lineage: Bacteria; Pseudomonadati; Pseudomonadota; Gammaproteobacteria; Enterobacterales; Enterobacteriaceae
Description: partial 23S ribosomal RNA
Rfam family: Bacterial large subunit ribosomal RNA
Source: RNAcentral
CCAGUGUGACUCGUCACACUAUCAUUAACUGAAUCCAUAGGUUAAUGAGGCGAACCGGGGGAACUGAAACAUCUAAGUACCCCGAGGAAAAGAAAUCAACCGAGAUUCCCCCAGUAGCGGCGAGCGAACGGGGAGGAGCCCAGAGCCUGAAUCAGCAUGUGUGUUAGUGGAAGCGUCUGGAAAGGCGCGCGAUACAGGGUGACAGCCCCGUACACAAAAGCGCAUGUGCUGUGAGCUCGAUGAGUAGGGCGGGACACGUGGUAUCCUGUCUGAAUAUGGGGGGACCAUCCUCCAAGGCUAAAUACUCCUGACUGACCGAUAGUGAACCAGUACCGUGAGGGAAAGGCGAAAAGAACCCCGGCGAGGGGAGUGAAAAAGAACCUGAAACCGUGUACGUACAAGCAGUGGGAGCCCCACCACCAAAGCAUUUGCUGUACCGCGUUGACGGAGCGAAGCGACGUCAAACCGAUAAAACAGCAGUGUAAAGUGAGCCGCAGGGCGCUUUGCGCGACAGCGCAAAGGCAGGCGGUUUCGCGUAGCGAAAGCGAAUGCUUUGGGGUGGGGUGACUGCGUACCUUUUGUAUAAUGGGUCAGCGACUUAUAUUCUGUAGCAAGGUUAACCGAAUAGGGGAGCCGGAGGGAAACCGAGUCUUAAUUGGGCGUUAAGUUGCAGGGUAUAGACCCGAAACCCGGUGAUCUAGCCAUGGGCAGGUUGAAGG